This 73-nucleotide transfer RNA is filed under the name Triticum aestivum (bread wheat). It matches the Rfam family "tRNA". Rfam says of the family: Transfer RNA (tRNA) molecules are approximately 80 nucleotides in length. Their secondary structure includes four short double-helical elements and three loops (D, anti-codon, and T loops). Further hydrogen bonds mediate the characteristic L-shaped molecular structure. tRNAs have two regions of fundamental functional importance: the anti-codon, which is responsible for specific mRNA codon recognition, and the 3' end, to which the tRNAs corresponding amino acid is attached (by aminoacyl-tRNA synthetases). tRNAs cope with the degeneracy of the genetic code in two manners: having more than one tRNA (with a specific anti-codon) for a particular amino acid; and 'wobble' base-pairing, i.e. permitting non-standard base-pairing at the 3rd anti-codon position. RNAcentral also lists the same sequence under 1 other name. The record is from Rfam by way of RNAcentral. Lineage: Eukaryota; Viridiplantae; Streptophyta; Magnoliopsida; Poales; Poaceae.
GCGGGGAUAGCUCAGUUGGGAGAGCGUCAGACUGAAGAUAUCAAGGUCGCGUGUUCGAUCCACGCUCACCGCA